CUACGGGGUGCUGCAGUGGGGAAUAUUGGACAAUGGGGGAAACCCUGAUCCAGCAAUGCCGCGUGUGUGAAGAUGGCCUGCGGGUUGUAAAGCACUUUCGGUUGGGAGGACUGCUUCUAGCACUAAUAUUGUUGGAAGUUGACGUUACCUUCAGAAGAAGCACCGGCUAACUCCGUGCCAGCAGCCGCGGUAAUACGGAGGGUGCAAGCGUUAAUCGGAAUUACUGGGCGUAAAGCGCGCGUAGGCGGCUAGAUCAGUCGGGUGUGAAAGCCCCGGGCUUAACCUGGGAACUGCAUCCGAUACUGUCUAGCUUGAGUACAGGAGAGGAGAGUGGAAUUCCACAUGUAGCGGUGAAAUGUGUAGAUAUGUGGAGGAACACCAAUGGCGAAGGCAGCUCUCUGGCCUGAUACUGACGCUGAGGUGCGAAAGCGUGGGGAGCAGACAGGAUUAGAUACCCCAGUAGUC
RNAcentral lists this ribosomal RNA (465 nucleotides) under uncultured bacterium. RNAcentral's name for it is "partial 16S ribosomal RNA". It matches the Rfam family "Bacterial small subunit ribosomal RNA", at positions 339 to 795 of the family's 1533-position model. The record is from RNAcentral.